Non-coding RNA from Pelobates cultripes (western spadefoot toad), 202 nucleotides. The record is from the annotation of a GenBank genome assembly. Lineage: Eukaryota; Metazoa; Chordata; Amphibia; Anura; Pelobatidae.
GGACAUGUUAAAAUACAUUUCAGCAUCUGUCUGCUACAGAGAAAAUAGAAAUGCAACAUAUAUUAUCACCUUUCAUCCAAGUGACACCGUGUUUGCACACAUCAUAUUCAAUAUUUACAUUGUUUUUUUAGAAGGAUCUAACUGAAGGUAUUUCCAUGAGCAAUCAUACAGGUAUGGUUCGAAUGGCUAAUGUUAAUCUCUU